This is a non-coding RNA of Pelobates cultripes (western spadefoot toad), 1359 nucleotides long. Lineage: Eukaryota; Metazoa; Chordata; Amphibia; Anura; Pelobatidae. The record is from the annotation of a GenBank genome assembly.
GGAAAGGGGAUUAUCGCCUAAAUGGUUUUUAUCCUCUUGUGAGAGAAACGGUCCGUUAAAGUAUCCAGGGCUGGUUAUUACACAUUAUUCCAGUCUCUCUCUCUCUCUGUAUCCAGGGCUGGUUAUUACACAUUAUUCCAGUCUCUCUCUCUCUCUCUCUCUGUAUCCAGGGCUGGUUAUUACAUUAUUCAGUCUCUCUCUCUGUAUCAGGGCUGGAUUUGUACACAUUAUUCAGUCUCUCUCUCUCUCCUCUCUCUCUGUAUCAGGGCUGGAUUUAUUACACAUUAUUCCAGUCUCUCUCUCUCUCUCUGUAUCAGGGCUGGUUCAUUACACAUUAUUCCGGUCUGCAGUCUCUGUAGCUGGGGUACGGUUGUGCACGUGUUCGGUCUCUCUCUCUCUGUAUCAGGUUUGGUUGUACGCAUUAUUCGGUCUCUCUCUGUAUCAGGGCUGGUUAUUUACACAUUAUUCAGUCUCUCUCUCUCUGUAUGGGGCUGGUUAUUACACAUUAUUCCAGUCUCUCUCUCUCUGUAGCCAGGGCUGGUUAUUACACAUUAUUCCAGUCUCUCUCUCUCUCUGUAUCCAGGGCUGGUUAUUACACAUUAUUCCAGUCUCUCUCUCUCUCUGUAUCCAGGGCUGGUUAUUACACAUUAUUCCAGUCUCUCUCUCUCUCUGUAUCCAGGGCUGGUUAUUACACAUUAUUCCAGUCUCUCUCUCACUCUGUAUCCAGGGCUGGUUAUUACACAUUAUUCCAGUCUCUCUCUCACUCUGUAUCCAGGGCUGGUUAUUACACAUUAUUCCAGUCUCUCUCUCUCUCUGUAGCCAGGGCUGGUUAUUACACAUUAUUCCAGUCUCUCUCUCACUCUGUAUCCAGGGCUGGUUAUUACACAUUAUUCCAGUCUCUCUCUCUCUCUGUAUCCAGGGCUGGUUAUUACACAUUAUUCCAGUCUCUCUCUCUCUGUAGCCAGGGCUGGUUAUUACACAUUAUUCCAGUCUCUCUCUCUGUAUCCAGGGCUGGUUAUUACACAUUAUUCCAGUCUCUCUCUCUCUCUGUAUCCAGGGCUGGUUAUUACACAUUAUUCCAGUCUCUCUCUCUCUCUGUAUCCAGGGCUGGUUAUUACACAUUAUUCCAGUCUCUCUCUCUCUCUCUGUAUCCAGGGCUGGUUAUUACACAUUAUUCCAGUCUCUCUCUCUCUCUCUGUAUCCAGGGCUGGUUAUUACACAUUAUUCCAGUCUCUCUCUCUCUCUGUAUCCAGGGCUGGUUAUUACACAUUAUUCCAGUCUCUCUCUCACUCUCUGUAUAGCAGGUCUCUGUAUUCUCUCUCAUACCUGGCAGCCAUCGAAUGAGAUCCUCCCCCCAGC